UACGUAGGGUGCAAGCGUUAAUCGGAAUUACUGGGCGUAAAGCGUGCGCAGGCGGUUUUGUAAGUCUGUCGUGAAAUCCCCGGGCUCAACCUGGGAAUUGCGAUGGAGACUGCAAGGCUAGAAUCUGGCAGAGGGGGGUAGAAUUCCACGUGUAGCAGUGCAAUGCGUAGAGAUGUGGAGGAACACCGAUGGCGAAGGCAGCCCCCUGGGUCAAGAUUGACGCUCAUGCACGAAAGCGUGGGGAGCAAACAGG
Molecule: ribosomal RNA, 253 nt
Filed under: uncultured bacterium
Lineage: Bacteria
Description: partial 16S ribosomal RNA
Rfam family: Bacterial small subunit ribosomal RNA
Source: RNAcentral